GACUCGCUCGUUAGUGCCCACACACUCCACACAAACACACACUGGAACAACGCGGGCCUGAGGGUCUCCAGCAGUGAUGACACCCCCAAAGGAAUCAACACAAGCCUCUCUCUGCAUCUGUGUGUGCGUGUGUGUUUAGAGGAGACACAAAGCGUGGAAGUAGGAGGUGGGACAGAAGUUUCCUGUUGUCGGUGGAGACUUAUUCAGGACGAGACAGCGGGAGAGAGAAAGGAGGGAGAGACGACAGAAAGAGAGGGAUUAGUCAGAGGAGAGAAGGCAGUGGCAGAGAGAGAGAGAGAGAGAGAGAGAGAGCACAGAAGAGAGGAAACUGAGAAAGACCUGUCUGUACUGUGUUUUGUGGGAAGAUGGUUUCAGCGGUGCUUCUGGUGGCUUUUCUGGGUUUGACGUUUGUGUCCAGCACCGAUGCCGAAGGAAACGGUACACAACCGGCUGUGUCUGACAUUCAGAAUGAUGGUAAGAGAGGGAGAGGGGACACCCCUGACAUCGAGGAGCCUGAGCCCGAGCCCGAGCCCGAGCCUGAGCCUGAGCCGACGGCCGCCGUGUCCGACUUGGACAGCACCUACAACUACGUGUGUGCGUCCGCAAAUAACUCUAACCCACUGUAAUGAAACAAAGGCAGGCCUAUUCUUACCCAGGACAUGCACAUGCAGGCCACGCUCAUCAUGCAAAUCAGCUAGAAGCAACCACCCCUAUCUCUAACACACCCUGUGACAAACAUGCCAGUUCCUCCGAACCCUUUGAAGUGUGCUGUACUGAAGGUGGUGGAGGUGGUGAAGGUGGCUAUUAAGGCAAUAGUUGAAAUAGUGAAAAAUGAAUGCUACACAUCCCCCCAUAAUCUCAACGUUGAUCAGCCAAGACAUGUUUGGAGUCUGAGGUUUGCUUCUUUAGUUUUCCUAUAGAGCUACGAGGCUAAUGUAAGGAAUCUUCAAAGCAUACGGUUAUCCAUCUGUAUAGAAAACAGUGCUGUACAGUGUAACAAACCACAUAAGAUUAGUGAACAGCUCAACACAGUUCGAGGCAACUGUUGCGUGUAACUGGUAGCACAUUCCCUACAGGGCACAAACUUCAUUAUGGCAUUUUUCUGCAAAUAUCGGUGCACAAUUCCUAUUUAAUUCCCAAAUUUAACAUAUAAAAUGUUCUAUGACUUUUGCACAGGCCACAUUUUAUGUUUUGUUUUUAUUCUAAUAUGUUCAACUCAGCAAAUAAACAGUGAUUGUGCAUUAAAAUGUUCCAUAAACCAUUGAAAUGAUAUUUUCUAAGCUGUACUGACUCCACACACCCCGUCUCAUCUCCAGGCUAUUUACUUUAUCGUUCUGUUUGAAAACAUUAGGUUAAUAAAUGUGUACUUUUUACCUGGAAAAAACAUAUUUAAGGUACAGAAUUGGACCUUAAAACCGCUGUUGUACCUUUGAGGGAACAUUUCCAUCGUUUGUAGCAUAUCACCAAAACGUAACUUGGCUGAGGCGCUCAAACUUUUGCUUGGGGCAUUUACAUGCCUUUUUUUUUUGUUAAUUUUAUUCAACUAUUAAAGUAAGCAGAACUCUUGGUUGAGAGUAUAUAAGCACACACACAUGCUUUAAAUGUUAACAUUAUCUACUUAGUUAAUGAACAGACAUUACUCAGAGCUGCCCUAAAAUGUGUUACAUCGGGAGCAACGAGGGGCAAAAGGGUAAGAAUGAGAUCCCCAACCCAAAAUAAAAUACUUCACAUCUUAGGAUCACAGAGCCAACACGGAUUGAACGGGGAACAGACAUGACAAAAGAAACGCAGGAUAAAUAAACAACGGAGGCCAGAAGAAACAAAUAUCAAACAUAGACCAAACAGCACGAGAAUACAACACAAAGACCAAGCAAAUCAAACAAUUCAAGCAAUAUAUUACACUUCAAAGACCAGCAAACAACUAGGGAAAAAGACAGGGCUUAAAUACAGAGACAACAAGGGUUAAUAAGACACAGGUGAUAAACACAGGUGGAUACAAUCAAGGGCAGGGUCUGGAAACAAGGGGGCAGGACCAGGAACGAAUCAAAACAAAAGCACAUGGACCAGACCAAAACAAACCAAAAGCACAUGGAUGACUGGGAGGGGCCAAUAGUGACAUAAAGAUGGCCAUGCCAAGAUAAAAUUGACAGCAGCAGCUUUCUUUAUCCUUUAUCCUUUAGAUUAGCCUCAUAGCUCCAGUGCGAAACUACAGAACCAAACUUUAGACACCUAACAGACACCUAACAUGUCUUGGCUGAUCAACCGCAUUUUGGAGUACAGAGGGAAAUGAGCAAAUGUGACUUUUACUAAACUAUCGCUUUAGUGUAGCAAGUUUGUGGCUAAUUUUUGUAUUUCUAUGCAGUAAAAUGCAGGUUUACCUUGGAAAGCUGCAAACACAGCCAUGAGGAACGCAGUUUUAAAGUCUCUCCUACAGAAAUAGCCUGAUUUAAAGCAGCUGCCACACAUUUAUGAAAUGAAAUAUGUGAUUCAUCGCUGAGGUCAGUAAUCGCAAGUGUUUCCUAUGUUUAUCCGACACAUCCCCAGCCUGAGGAAGGGUGGCUAUUGCAUGAGACAUCAUGUGUUUCCAGCGUCUGUCCUUUUAAUCUCAACGCUCUUAUUAUGUGGUAUUAUCUUAUUAUUAGGUCGCUUGGACUGCGGACGUAGAUGCAAAACACUUUCAUUACAUUUGUUAACCUCAGACUCACUGAACUUGAGUGUACAUGAAUAUCUAGCUCAAAGACCACGUUAUCUGCUUGGUGGGAUGUCAGCACUCAACUCUUUUUAAAAGGGGAUGUCCACUGAUUGUUCAAAACGUCUGUCUAAUUAAAUAAAGAUAAAAACACUCACAGAGGUUUGAUGUGAAAUGCUCCAUUCUAAUAGUCCAAAGAGCUUAAUGCCAUUAAAAGCUAAUUUACAGUUAUGAUAGAAAUGGUAAUGAAUAUUCUCCGUGAUACCUGGGACAAUGAGUGCCUUUACCUGCACUCACUAAUCCAGUCAUAAUCAGAUUUCUGCAACUAUCUGAUUAUUCAAAUGAUCAUGUAAAUGUAACUGCACACUCAGAUUUCGUAGACUGGAGUCUAGGAAUCUGAUAAAGAGGCUGGACUUUACCUCAGUAAUCUGAUUUCUCAGGGCAUGUGAACUCUUACUCUGAUUUCUUUCGGAUUCCUCAGGCUGCACAUGAGCAAAAACAGACAGCAGCACUGGAAAUAAGCGAGCAGCAAAACACCUUUGUAGCGGCACUGAAAGAACUACAUGCUUGACGAAAUAAAGGAUUUAAAUAUUCUUCAUCUUCUAGAAGACGUAUAUUCAUAUUUUCAGGAAAAAUGAUGCAGUGUUUACAUAAAACAGCCACAGCAUGAAGUUUGAGUUGUGCAUUACUUGACCAUCACACCUUCUUCUGUGAGUUUAUUGGCUGGUUGCAAAGCCAAUCUGAUUACUCUGACUCGUGGACUCAUGUAGACCUGGAGUUUCCCCAUUAUCUCAUUACCCAUGUUGUUCAGAUUGCUGACAAAAUGUGAUUUGCUGCAGUUAUCAGAUUAUUAAAUGCAUGUAAACGCACUCAUUGUUUUAGGAUAGUUUUAACUUUUGGCCGCUAGAAACAUCGGUGGUGGAGGGGUACAUGCAGGGCAUUGUGAGGCAAAAUAGUCCCUAAAGAAAUAUAAUUUCCUCAGAUUUAGCUCUAUUUUACCUUCAUCAACAUUACAUAUAAAAUGUUAAAAGCUCAGAAGACUUGUGCUGUAGACGUUGUGAUACCUGGUUUCUAUCACCACCACUGUAAAGAAAGCCUGGUUUGCAUCUAAACUACUGAAUAAUGCAGAAAUUUUGAAAUAUCAGUGGAAUUCCCAUUAACAGUAAGCUGGGAAAGAAAACAGCCGUGCCUUUACUUUAAAACCUGCCCUUCAUACCAAUAAAGUCACUUUAGCUGUUUUACCUUUACAGUGGUUUUCUUAGUUAUCUCAAAAGUAGCAAUGUUUAUAAGUAGCUUGUAAAUGUUUCUGAAGCUUCCCUUUGUGUC
Pygocentrus nattereri (red-bellied piranha) is the source of this 4015-nucleotide long non-coding RNA. NCBI's taxonomy places the organism in Eukaryota, Metazoa, Chordata, Actinopteri, Characiformes, Serrasalmidae. The record is from Ensembl.